This 249-nucleotide ribosomal RNA is filed under the name uncultured bacterium. Its description in RNAcentral is "partial 16S ribosomal RNA". It matches the Rfam family "Bacterial small subunit ribosomal RNA", at positions 109 to 353 of the family's 1533-position model. The record is from RNAcentral.
AGUAACGCGUGAGUAACCUGCCUCUCAGAGGGGGAGUAACGUUCUGAAAAGGACGCUAAUACCGCAUGACAUCCCGGGGCCGCAUGGUCCUGGGAUCAAAGGAGCAAUCCGCUGAGAGAUGGACUCGCGUCCGAUUAGCUAGUUGGUGAGAUAAAGGCCCACCAAGGCGACGAUCGGUAGCCGGACUGAGAGGUUGAACGGCCACAUUGGGACUGAGACACGGCCCAGACUCCUACGGGAGGCAGCAUG